This 433-nucleotide ribosomal RNA is filed under the name uncultured bacterium. Its description in RNAcentral is "partial 16S ribosomal RNA". It matches the Rfam family "Bacterial small subunit ribosomal RNA", at positions 29 to 507 of the family's 1533-position model. The record is from RNAcentral.
AGCGAGCGCUGGCGGCAGGCCUAACACAUGCAAGUCGAACGAACUCUUCGGAGUUAGUGGCGGACGGGUGAGUAACACGUGGGAACGUGCCUUUUGGUUCGGAAUAACUCAGGGAAACUUGUGCUAAUACCGAAUGUGCCCUUCGGGGGAAAGAUUUAUCGCCAUUAGAGCGGCCCGCGUCUGAUUAGCUAGUUGGUGGGGUAACGGCUCACCAAGGCGACGAUCAGUAGCUGGUCUGAGAGGAUGACCAGCCACACUGGGACUGAGACACGGCCCAGACUCCUACGGGAGGCAGCAGUGGGGAAUCUUGCGCAAUGGGCGAAAGCCUGACGCAGCCAUGCCGCGUGAAUGAUGAAGGUCUUAGGAUUGUAAAAUUCUUUCACCGGGGACGAUAAUGACGGUACCCGGAGAAGAAGCCCCGGCUAACUUCGUG